Long non-coding RNA from Zingiber officinale, 1902 nucleotides. RefSeq lists it as uncharacterized. The record is from RefSeq and is a predicted model, not a curated record. Lineage: Eukaryota; Viridiplantae; Streptophyta; Magnoliopsida; Zingiberales; Zingiberaceae. The transcript has 3 exons.
UUUGUGCGACUCCGCUUGGACUUCAUUGAAUUUCAAAUCCAGCUUUGAGUCUAGCUUCACGUCCGUGGAAGGGUCUCCGACGGCAGCGAAGCGAGACGAAAUCGUCUCGGAGCUCAGAUGAUCGAGAUCUGAUUUGGGAUUGCGAGUCCUUCUCUGUCAUUCCUCGAUCUCUUAGACUGUGGGCAUUGUGGUCGUUCGGGUGGGUAAAUCCGGGUGCUCUGGCCGUCUGCUUCUGGUAACUCGUGAGCAGUUUUGAGGUAAAAAUUCAAUCUGUGGGGAUGGAAACUGUGGUUGUAGUUGGAUCGCAUCGGAGUAAAUAUUACAGCAGAGGCAAGUCACAGCCGUCGAGAGAUUUUGGAGGGUUUAGCUGCCGCACCUUCGAGUCUGCUACUCGAGUUCUGCCAUCGCGCUCCUCUCGAUUGUGCUAUUGCUAUGGCCUUAGUGAGCUGAAAUCUCCCAGCUUUUACUCAGACCAACAGCAAAAACAAAGAAGGAAGAGGAAAACCAUUUCGCAGAACAACCCGCCUUCUCCUAAAGGAGACGCCUUCACAGAAAAGACAUCUUGUUCUGAACGGUGGGCAGGUCCUACCUACUCAAACUCACCUCCUCCCAGUUCUUUGCCCAUCCCUACAUUUUCCCUUCGCCAGAAGCGUAGUGUUUCUCUAGAACUUCAAAUUCCGAUAUCUGAUGUUAUACUUCACUCUCUCUCAAAAUCUGCACCAACUUCCCCUACUAGAGAAUCCCCUUCAUCUGCCAGCAACUUCCAAUUCAACACUACCAUUGCUACGGAGAACUUGAGACGGAUUCUCCAGUUGGAUAUUGCAGAUGAUUGAGGGAGCCCCUCUUUAAGUUCGUUAGAGUACUUAUGUAUGUAGUUUGUCAUAAGUAUGUGUAUCCUUUCUUGAGUUUUCUAGCAUUAGAUUAAGCAAGUGUUACUAGAAGCAAUCAGGUAGAAGUAAUGUCCUAUAUUGUUUGUUGGGGUCAUUAGAGCUUGUGAUGGGAUUUGAUGAAGUUGAUUAAGUGGCAGUAGUUUAGUGGUUGUUUAUAAGUAGAAUCCAUUGUAGGAUAAACCGUUGAAACAUGUGUUGAGCUUAGUCAAGUAUAUGACUUUUAUUCCGCUGUUCCAAGGUAGAGCAAGAUCUAUGGGGACUAGUCCUUUGUAAGUUAUCUAUUCUGUAUAUCCUUGUCCACAUGGUAAGGGGGGGAAACAUGAAAUAAUUAGGAACUGCAUUCUUAUCCCUCGGAAUAUGCAAUUCAGAAGCAUGCCCCUCAUUUUCUCCUUGCUUUGUAUGCAUGUUUGUGAUAAUUCCUCCUUUUUUCUUAGCUUUCAUUCCUCAAACUCGUUUUAAUCUUCAGAAGUUAGUAAGAUCUAACCUUGUCCCUUCUUCCAGAUUUUUGGUAGGAAGAAGUGAGGUGUAGUGGACUUCAUAUAUCUCUCUUUUUGCUUGUCUAUCUUCAUGCAUAUUAGCCGUAGUUGAUUUUAUCUUUCGUUCUCUCUAGUUCUACUUCACAUUUGGUCUCAUCUUCAGUUCCUACUCUAGGAAGCCACGUUUCCCACUGUCACUAAAUGAUUAAGAUGUGGCAUUAAGGGCUGCUUCUGUUGGUGAUCGGCACAGAAGCCUAGUAAUUGGUGAUACAGCAUGUGAAAAAUGUGUGUUAAUGGUGUUUGCUCUUGGUGAUAGUAAGUCAAUAUAUUUAGCUGUUGAUGAUGCUUCUGAGCUUGUAUAACUCUUGGAAGCACUGGGGUUUUAAACAAAUCCUUGUAUCAUGAACUUAGAAUUUGACGCUAUCGCUUCUUAUAUUUCCAUGUCUUAGUGAUAUACUUUGAAUAUCGCUAACAAUGUAAUAUUAGCAUUAGUGACUCGAUGAAAUGAAACUCAUGUAUCCAACUUUUGAUGCUUU